Misgurnus anguillicaudatus (oriental weatherfish) is the source of this 560-nucleotide long non-coding RNA. RefSeq lists it as uncharacterized. The record is from RefSeq and is a predicted model, not a curated record. Lineage: Eukaryota; Metazoa; Chordata; Actinopteri; Cypriniformes; Cobitidae.
ACGUCACGCACUGGAUUGUUUUAGUUUACUUUAGUCGUGUAGGCAACCGAAGAGCAAGGCAGCUGGACCGCGCCAGACGAUCGAUUUGGUAUCAACUCGACGGCAUCGACGCGAAAAUUGCAGGGACACAACAAACUGACAGUCAGCCAUCAGGACACCCUACAUGCUGAAUCUGCAUCACAUAUUUAUAUCAAGUUUGCUUUGCAUCAUGUCUAGUGAUUUGAAAAAGCUGCUGUGAUGUAAACUCCGUAAGCUCCGGUGUUCUGUUCAUUUGUCCCACCUACACUGUCAGAUUUUCCUACCAUAGCGCAAAAUUAUACCCAUUUGUUUCAAUCCAAACUAUCACACUAAAAAAGGAUGCGGCCGCGCAAAAAUUAGAUUGUCUUAUGGAGUAUAAAAUAAACAGGUAGGAUGUGACCGUGCAAAAAUCAGAUUGUCUUAUAUAGUAUAAAAUAAACAGGUACAAUGUGACCGUGUAAAAAUCAGAUUGUCUUAUGCAGUAAAAAAAUAAACAGGUAGGAUGCGACGGGUCAAAAUCAAAUUGUCUUAUGUAGUAUGAA